UACGUAGGGUGCGAGCGUUGUCCGGAAUUAUUGGGCGUAAAGAGCUCGUAGGCGGUUUGUUGCGUCGGCUGUGAAAUCCCGAGGCUCAACCUCGGGUCUGCAGUCGAUACGAGCAAACUAGAGUGUUGCAGGGGAGACUGGAAUUCCUGGUGUAGCGGUGAAAUGCGCAGAUAUCGGGAGGAACACCGGUGGCGAAGGCGGUUCUCUGGGCCGUAACUGACGCUGAGGAGCGAAAGCAUGGGGAGCGAACAGG
This 253-nucleotide ribosomal RNA is filed under the name uncultured bacterium. Its description in RNAcentral is "partial 16S ribosomal RNA". It matches the Rfam family "Bacterial small subunit ribosomal RNA", at positions 524 to 776 of the family's 1533-position model. The record is from RNAcentral.